UGCCAGCCGCCGCGGUAAUACGGAGGAUCCAAGCGUUAUCCGGAAUCAUUGGGUUUAAAGGGUCCGCAGGCUGUUUUUUAAGUCAGAGGCGAAAUCCUACAGCUCAACUGUAGCAUUGCCUUUGAUACCGCCAGACCUGAGUUAUUGUGAAGUAGUUAGAAUGUGUAGUGUAGCGGUGAAAUGCAUAGAUAUUACACAGAAUACCGAUUGCGAAGGCAGAUUACUAACAAUAUACUGACGCUGAGGGACGAAAGCGUGGGUAGCGAACAGGAUUAGAUA
Molecule: ribosomal RNA, 279 nt
Filed under: uncultured bacterium
Lineage: Bacteria
Description: partial 16S ribosomal RNA
Rfam family: Bacterial small subunit ribosomal RNA
Source: RNAcentral